RNAcentral lists this ribosomal RNA (379 nucleotides) under uncultured eukaryote. RNAcentral's name for it is "partial 18S ribosomal RNA". It matches the Rfam family "Eukaryotic small subunit ribosomal RNA", at positions 592 to 975 of the family's 1831-position model. The record is from RNAcentral.
CAAUAGCGUAUAUUAAAGUUGUUGCGGUUAAAAAGCUCGUAGUUGGAUUUCUGCUGAGGACGACCGGUCCGCCCUCUGGGUGAGCAUCUGGCUCGGCCUUGGCAUCUUCUUGGGGAACGUAGCUGCACUUGACUGUGUGGUGCGGUAUCCAGGACUUUUACUUUGAGGAAAUUAGAGUGUUUCAAGCAGGCGCACGCCUUGAAUACAUUAGCAUGGAAUAAUAAGAUAGGACCUCGGUUCUAUUUUGUUGGUUUCUAGAGCUGAGGUAAUGAUUAAUAGGGAUAGUUGGGGGCAUUCGUAUUUAACUGUCAGAGGUGAAAUUCUUGGAUUUGUUAAAGACGGACUACUGCGAANGNAUUUGCNAAGGAUGUUUNCAUUG